UACGAAGGGAGCUAGCGUUGUUCGGAAUCACUGGGCGUAAAGCGCACGUAGGCGGAUGUGUCAGUCAGGGGUGAAAUCCCGGAGCUCAACUUCGGAACUGCCCUUGAUACAGCACGUCUUGAGUCCGGAAGAGGUGGGUGGAAUUCCUAGUGUAGAGGUGAAAUUCGUAGAUAUUAGGAAGAACACCGGUGGCGAAGGCGGCCCACUGGCCCGGUACUGACGCUGAGGCGCGAAAGCGUGGGGAGCAAACAGG
This 253-nucleotide ribosomal RNA is filed under the name uncultured bacterium. Its description in RNAcentral is "partial 16S ribosomal RNA". It matches the Rfam family "Bacterial small subunit ribosomal RNA", at positions 524 to 776 of the family's 1533-position model. The record is from RNAcentral.